CUGGUGUGGAGUCAAAUCAAAUAGUUUUAUUUACAGAAUUAUUUCUCUGGGCCAGAAUAAAACAACAGACAGCACAAACACAUCACGAGGAUAUUGAUGUGUUUGUGUUGCUCUCUGACUUACUAUGUUAAAAAACUCCCCAACGCUCCACACAGCUGGUGACCUGGAUCACUGCACUGCAUAGGAGUGCCUAUCGCUCUCAUCUCCAGCCACUGGAUACAAGCUAUCAAUCGCUACGCCAUCAAACUACGCAGGCUGACCCCGGAGAAGCGAGGAUACACCGGGGCCAACCCUCUGCGAUGGAAUUCAGAACAGGUUCUUCCGAUGAAUUCCAACCUCCUAUCUCGGGAGCCCUACUAAAAAUCAAUGAGGGGGGGAUCGAUUUCUCCUACGCGCUCCCCAGGGUAGAGUCAAAGGAGGGGGACAAAGGAGAUAAAACCACAGUUGAAUCGCUAAAGUAACUCCAGUGCACCACGGGUGACUGAUAUUAUUGAGUGUGUGGGGAGUCACAUGCUGCCACCGCUGUGUUGUGAGUGACUUGAAGAAUGGUGCUUAAAUGGCAUCCCCCCCCCCUCCUCCUCAAGAAACGAGGAUUUGAAACGAUUGAAACCCUGUGGCGUCGGCCCCCAAGCGGAAUAUUAGUUAAGUUUGGUUCUAUGGAAUACGAAAAAGAAGAAGAAAAAGAAAAA
Long non-coding RNA from Gadus morhua (Atlantic cod), 689 nucleotides. RefSeq lists it as uncharacterized. Lineage: Eukaryota; Metazoa; Chordata; Actinopteri; Gadiformes; Gadidae. The record is from RefSeq and is a predicted model, not a curated record. The transcript has 2 exons.